Molecule: ribosomal RNA, 497 nt
Filed under: uncultured bacterium
Lineage: Bacteria
Description: partial 16S ribosomal RNA
Rfam family: Bacterial small subunit ribosomal RNA
Source: RNAcentral
GAUGAACGCUGGCGGCGUGCCUAAUACAUGCAAGUCGAGCGAACAUACGAGGAGCUUGCUCCUCUGACGUUAGCGGCGGACGGGUGAGUAACACGUGGAUAACCUACCUAUAAGACUGGGAUAACUUCGGGAAACCGGAGCUAAUACCGUAUAAUAUAUUGAACCGCAUGGUUCAAUAGUGAAAGACGGUUUUGCUGUCACUUAUAGAUGGAUCCGCGCCGCAUUAGCUAGUUGGUAAGGUAACGGCUUACCAAGGCAACGAUGCGUAGCCGACCUGAGAGGGUGAUCGGCCACACUGGAACUGAGACACGGUCCAGACUCCUACGGGAGGCAGCAGUAGGGAAUCUUCCGCAAUGGGCGAAAGCCUGAGGGAGAAACGCCGCGUGAGUGAUGAAGGUCUUCGGAUCGUAAAACUCUGUUAUUAGGGAAGAACAAAUGUGUAAGUAAAUAUGCACGUCUUGACGGUACCUAAUCAGAAAGCCACGGCUAACUACGUG